CCAAUAGCGUAUAUUAAAGUUGUUGCAGUUAAAAAGCUCGUAGUUGAAUUUCGGGAUUGACGUGAUGGUCAUGCCUUAAGGGGUAUGAACUGUUGCAGUUGAUUUCUCACCUUCUGGAAAAACUUGAUGUCCUUUAUUGGGUGUCUUGCGGAUCCAGGACCUUUACCUUGAAAAAAUUAGAGUGUUUAAAGCAGGCAUUUUUGCUCGAAUACAUUAGCAU
This 220-nucleotide ribosomal RNA is filed under the name uncultured Entrophospora. RNAcentral's name for it is "uncultured Claroideoglomus partial small subunit ribosomal RNA". It matches the Rfam family "Eukaryotic small subunit ribosomal RNA", at positions 591 to 810 of the family's 1831-position model. The record is from RNAcentral. Lineage: Eukaryota; Fungi; Glomeromycota; Glomeromycetes; Entrophosporales; Entrophosporaceae.